RNAcentral lists this long non-coding RNA (940 nucleotides) under Homo sapiens (human). Its description in RNAcentral is "HSALNT0401926". The record is from RNAcentral. Lineage: Eukaryota; Metazoa; Chordata; Mammalia; Primates; Hominidae.
AGAGAAGACAAAAUAACCCAAAGAAAAGAAGUAUGGAAGGCAGGGGUAGCAAGGCGGAGCUGUGCCCUGUCACGGCACACAGAGAAUGCCCAUGGAUUUUCACAAAUGCUGUUAAAAUGUGAAAAGAAGGUGUUUCUUUUUUCUUCAAUCUGAGCUUCAAGCUAAUAUGGGCAUUCAGCUAAAUCCCUCCUGGGUCCUGAAACAGUAUGUGGUUUUGGAUUUCAAAGGUAAUUAUUGCUGAAUUCAUUGUAUGGCCAGUGCACCUGCCAGGUAGACAUUAUAAAAGAGCAUGCAGGGGGCCACCAAGAGAAUUUGGAGGACAAUUUCUCCAUCACAAAACCCCUUUGAAAGCCUAUUAAGGCAUCAAGUGCCAGGAAUGGAGUUGAACAUAUUCAUAAUACAGUUAACAAUGCAAAUGAAGCAACAGUUCCAGGUCGGAGAAAAUGCCGAUGCUUACCUGAGAAAUUCGGGCUCCAUUGUAUUGUGUCUGUCCUGCAAUUGACUCACAAUAAUCCCUACAACUUCUGGGAGAGGUGCAAGUAUCAACCAGUUGGAGACACAGGGAAAGGGUGAUAUAAUGCAGAAAGUGACUUGAACAAAUUUACACAGAAGGCAGUGAAGUGUGAUUCAAAUUCAAGCAGUCUAGACUGUGCCCCACACAACUCUGCAGCAUAACCUUGCAGUAUGAAAAUAAUGCCUCUCAUGCAGAUCAGGGAUAUGAGAUCCAGUGACUUACCCAAAGUUUCAAAGGAAAGAUGUAACAGAGCCAUCUCUGAACUUCUGCUCUUGGGAAUCUACACACUCUUUCCACUAGUUCUGACCUUAGCAGGUGUUUGACCCAGGACUUGCCCAACUUGGUUUCCAUUUGUAUAGAACUAAUGCCAAAUUUCAAAAGAAAAUAUUACAUACCAUAAUCAAUAAAAACAAAAUAUCAAACAUG